AGCAGCAGCCGCGGGAACACGGAGGGUGCAAGCGUUAAUCGGAAUUACUGGGCGUAAAGGGCGCGUAGGCGGAUUGUUUAGUUAGGCGUGAAAUUCCUGGGCUUAACCUGGGGACUGCGCUUAAUACAGGCAGUCUAGAGUGAGGAAGAGGGUUGUGGAAUUCCCAGUGUAGAGGUGAAAUUCGUAGAUAUUGGGAAGAACACCGGUGGCGAAGGCGGCAACCUGGUCCUUGACUGACGCAGAGGCGCGAAAGCGUGGGGAGCAAACAGGAUUAGAUACCCCAGUAGUCCCUGUCUCUUAUAC
Molecule: ribosomal RNA, 303 nt
Filed under: uncultured bacterium
Lineage: Bacteria
Description: partial 16S ribosomal RNA
Rfam family: Bacterial small subunit ribosomal RNA
Source: RNAcentral